Molecule: unclassified non-coding RNA, 223 nt
Filed under: Hevea brasiliensis (rubber tree)
Lineage: Eukaryota; Viridiplantae; Streptophyta; Magnoliopsida; Malpighiales; Euphorbiaceae
Source: RNAcentral
UUUUUUUUUUGUUUCUUUAAAGUUGUUGUCACAGGAAAUCUGGGAAGAUAGCUAAUUUUUGCCCCUUGUAUCUGUCCUAAUGCGGGGAGACUUGGCGGGUUUGUUGUGGGUAUCUCGUUGGUGUUACAUCUUGUACUCGAUACGGUCUUGUGUAUGGAUUUCUGAGUGGGGUCAUGUUUCGGCUUAUACAGGAAGUUUUCAUGAUAUUCUUCUCCAUAUCUCA